AGGCGAAACGCCCUGCGGGGCGUCCGGCCGGGUGGUUCCCGGUCGCUGAUGAGCCAACCAGCCAAAG
Molecule: non-coding RNA, 67 nt
Filed under: Streptomyces sp. RK76
Lineage: Bacteria; Bacillati; Actinomycetota; Actinomycetes; Kitasatosporales; Streptomycetaceae
Also listed under: 2 other names
Source: RNAcentral